CAAGACAAAGCACUUCUUUUCAGCUUGUCUUUCAUGUGUGUCUUGCUCAAUCAGAGCAUACUAUUUAUGUUUGAAUUUUAUAUACAUUUUAGGGAGAGUGUGGGGUAUUAACCAAGUUUGCAAUUGUCCUUUGGCCAUUAGGGAAGCUUGGCCAAAUACCCACUCCAACAGAUAUAGCUGCUCUUGUUUUCAUUUUUUGCUUCAGAAUUCAGAUUGUAAUUGAGAGGUAGAGAGAGCCUUCCAUGGCUAUAAUGCUCUAAGAAGCUUUGUUCUUGUAUGAACUUUAUUUACAACUCUUGCAAGGUUUGUUCUCUUAUAAGUUGUAAUUGAAAUUCAAGGGUAUUUCUUCUUGAAAGAAUUGUUCUUGGAUUGAACACCAUCUUGCAUUUAUUUUCUGAUUCUCUUCACAUUGGAUGUUGAGGGUUGGGAAAGAGUAGAAGAUCACUUAGUCUUGAUUGGAGGGACGGUCCAAUAGCUGCCACAAUAAAAGUGGCUGUUCCUUUGAAAGUUAUCAAGGGAGCUUGUAUAAGCUCUUUUGCUGCAUCAGUAUGUCCAUGCCUAGCUGCAAUGGGCAACAGAGUAUUACCUUCAUAAUUGUCCUAUGAUAACAACUUUAGGCAAUUGUCAACUACUUGAUUUAUUAACUCAGUAGAUAUUUUCCUUGGAAAGAAAACAUGAAUAUGCAGUAUUGUGUUUCCAUUUGGUCUCACUAUGCAAUCAAGAUGAUAUAAAUGUUCAUUGAAUGGAUCAAAUUUGCCUUGUUCUGCUGCCUUCUUUAAGUCAUCAUCCAUGGAUGGGCAUCUCGUGUGGAAGCAAUUUUUGCUAGCAUUUGACUUCUCCAUCAUAAGUGCUAGAAUUUGAAAUAAGUGUGCAUUUGGCAGUCUCCAGAGGCUUUCUAUGAAGGUACACAUACUGUACAAGAUGCCUGUGUAGGUUUUGGCAUGUUUGGAUAUCUUCCAUGAAAGUGUACAACCGAGCUGCAUAGGCCGUGCAGCAUGUUGUGAAAGUUUCAGUAAUUUUCAAAUGUCCUCCGUGAAGGUGCACAGGAUAGACAUGAAAGUACACAAGCUGUGUAGUCUCUUGUACAAAUUUCGACAGGUCCAAAAACUAGUUCAGAUUUCUAUAUAAAAGCUGCACAGGUUAUGCAAUAAGUUGUGCAGAUUUUGGCAAUUUUCAUAUUCUUCAAUUUCUAAGCUUUAUUUUCGCACUUUUAGACCUGAAAAUCAUUCCUCACUUGUACAAUUACUUUUUAGUCCCUCAAAAAUAUGAUUUUAUCUAUAAAACAAAAGCAAAAUUAUAAAUUAGUCCAAAAAUUGACAAUUAUGAAAAAUUAGCUGAAUAACUAAUAAAAUUAACUAAAAAUGAAUAAUAAAUCAUUUAAAUGACUAUCAAAUUUAACCUAAAUUGCUAUAUAAAAUGUAUGUAUUAAAUACCCCCAAACACAAAUUUUUACUUGUACUAAAGCAAACUUUUAAAAUAUAAUGCAAUUUUAGGGGUGCCUUGUCCAAGGAGUUAUGAAAAUCAUCUACUAGAACAAUCUAACUCACCUCUAGCCAUACCAACAAUCCAUAUUCCCAUCCUUCAAGAUGUGAAGAAUUUAAUGUUUACCCAAGCUUUUAUCGUUUAGCCAUCAAGUCAAUUAUCAUU
Molecule: unclassified non-coding RNA, 1647 nt
Filed under: Hevea brasiliensis (rubber tree)
Lineage: Eukaryota; Viridiplantae; Streptophyta; Magnoliopsida; Malpighiales; Euphorbiaceae
Source: RNAcentral